GCAUUUGUAGUUCAGUGGUAGAAUCCUCGCCUUCCAUUUGGGAGACCUGGGUUCAAUUCCUGGCCAAGGCA
Molecule: transfer RNA, 71 nt
Filed under: Loxodonta africana (African savanna elephant)
Lineage: Eukaryota; Metazoa; Chordata; Mammalia; Proboscidea; Elephantidae
Rfam family: tRNA
About the family: Transfer RNA (tRNA) molecules are approximately 80 nucleotides in length.
Source: Rfam by way of RNAcentral